GNAUUUAUUGGGCGUAAAGCGAGCGCAGGCGGUUAGAUAANUCUGAAGUUAAAGGCUGUGGCUUAACCAUAGUACGCUUUGGAAACUGUUUAACUUGAGUGCAGAAGGGGAGAGUGGAAUUCCAUGUGUAGCGGUGAAAUGCGUAGAUAUAUGGAGGAACACCGGUGGCGAAAGCGGCUCUCUGGUCUGUAACUGACGCUGAGGCUCGAAAGCGUGGGGAGCGAACAGGAUUAGAUACCCUGGUAGUCCACGCCGUAAACGAUGAGUGCUAGGUGUUAGGCCCUUUCCGGGGCUUAGUGCCGCAGCUAACGCAUUAAGCACUCCGCCUGGGGAGUACGACCGCAAGGUUGAAACUCAAAGGAAUUGACGGGGGCCCGCACAAGCGGUGGAGCAUGUGGUUUAAUUCGAAGCAACGCGAAGAACCUUACCAAGUCUUGACAUCCCGAUGCCCGCUCUAGAGAUAGAGUUUUACUUCGGUACAUCGGUGACAGGUGGUGCAUGGUUGUCGUCAGCUCGUGUCGUGAGAUGUUGGGUUAAGUCCCGCAACGAGCGCAACCCUUAUUGUUAGUUGCCAUCAUUCAGUUGGGCACUCUAGCGAGACUGCCGGUAAUAAACCGGAGGAAGGUGGGGAUGACGUCAAAUCAUCAUGCCCCUUAUGACCUGGGCUACACACGUGCUACAAUGGCUGGUACAACGAGUCGCAAGUCGGUGACGGCAAGCUAAUCUCUUUAAGCCAGUCUCAGUUCGGAUUGUAGGCUGCAACUCGCCUACAUGAAGUCGGAAUCGCUAGUAAUCGCGGAUCAGCACGCCGCGGUGAAUACGUUCCCGGGCCUUGUACACACC
RNAcentral lists this ribosomal RNA (843 nucleotides) under uncultured bacterium. Its description in RNAcentral is "bacterial SSU rRNA". It matches the Rfam family "Bacterial small subunit ribosomal RNA", at positions 547 to 1391 of the family's 1533-position model. The record is from RNAcentral.